GCGCUGAGGAGAGCGCCGGGCGGGGCCGGGCCGGGCCACGGGAGGAGGCGCAGCUGCCGGAUUCAUUCACGGGGCGGGAUCGGGUAACCGAAGGGCGAGCGAAGGCCUUCGCGGGGGCCUGGCGCUGCCCCCGGGCCCGGCUGCGGUCCGCAGAGCUCUCCUCAGGCGGCGCCCGCCGCCCCUCGGAGCGCUCCCAGCGCGCAGGCGGCACAGGGCGCUUCGGCACGGCGCCUUCUACGUGCUCCUUUCCUUUCCCAACUCAGUUCCGUGUUUUUCCCGGCCUUGUGCAAUGCUCGCUCAGCACGGCUGCGUGCAGCUCGUGGUUCCGCUGCGCUGCUGUCCCGCGGGUGGGCUCGGCCCUGCCCCGCUGUCUCCCAAAACUUGGAGUUUACCGUUAAAAACGCGGGAUUUUUUUUUUUAAAUUUUUCAUCACUAAGGACUCGAGAGCAUAUUUGGGCAUUUAGAAAUAAAAGCAAGUUCUCGUUCUUUUCCCGUCUUGUGUAACACCAAGCACAGUGCUCACGCUGGGUAGAUGCACUCACUGUGUUACUUCUGUAGGAAAGGUUGGAAAGAAAAUACGAGGGAAGAACGUCGGGAGAAAGGUCCCCUUCUAGGGAACGCCAGUGUCCCGGUGCCAGGUCGUAGGCCAGGGCUCCAAGUUUGGCUGCAGCGACAGCAGCAGUUACCUUCAGUGCGAGCUGCCACUGGCUCUCUAGAGACUGUAGCUAUACGUGGAAAUUGUGAAUAAAACAUUGUCUGUUGAAAAAUGUAAAUACAAAUAAAAACAUAAGUUCUAAACUUGCACACAGUAUAUAUAUAUCUAUACGGGUAUGACAUUACACACGGAAAAAGAUCAAAAGGAGCUGGGUCUAUUCGUGUCGUCCCCGCACAAAGUCAGCUUCCGCCAGCUGCCCGACUCCUCCAUGAGAAUAAGUGGCACGGUCCCAGAGCCAGCGCUCUGCCUGCACGCCGCUUCUGUGGUGGAUCCUCACCCUAAAACCCAACACUUGGUAAAGAUUAAAACAUUUUACUGCACGAGCUGGAGAAGCAGCGGGUGCUCCAGGCAGCCUCAGUCAGCUGUGCAGGAAGCCCGGGCGCUCGGGUACUCGUCAGGGCGUGGUUUUGAAGGAAUGCGUGCACAAGCGCUGACAGUGCCGUGGCAGGUACAAAAGCUGACUCAGACCUUCCAAGCUCAGAUUCGUAACACUUCUGCACGUCCUGAUUCAGCUGACAGUUCGUUUUGUGCACUUGUGACAGCAGCUGGUGGAAGCCCUCCAGAGACCCGACUCCAGGUGCAGCAGCAUAACGCCAAUCACUGGGCACGCAGACCAGGAGGAUUUCCACUCCCUCCCAGUUGCUCCAUUCAUCUGCGGACGCUGUAUCAUUUCUCAGAUGCUGUUUAGAGUACAACCACACAAACCAUUCAGUCAGCACAACUGGAGGUGCAGGGAGCUCCUCGAGGCUCAGAACCUGCCUGCUCCUUUCCAGAGAACAGAAGAUUGGGUUCCUUGACCCAGCUGCGCCCUGGAAGAAUUCAUCACACAGGACCACGCUGAGAUGAUAUAAAUAACCAGCAGAAAACAGUUUAUAUGGCAUGCAUCUAAAAAGUAACCACAAGCUCUGUAUAGGAAUACAGGAGACAGAAAAGCGGAAUGAGUUCUGAACCACAACAUUUUGUUGUGGAGGACAAAAAGGGCUCCACAAAGAGUCCACAUUCUGCUUUUUCCCCCCCAACUAAUGAUUCUCCUGAGCCUGAGCCUUCCGGUACCUGCAAUUGAGGAGAUGUGAUGAAAAGCUCUUCCUGCUAUAUAACCACUCUUUCCUAAGGACAGUUCCAGAUGUGCUGCGACCCAUUUUCAGACUUUGUGAAGGAAUCGAAGAACAUCCUGAAGGUUCUAUGUAGAACUUCAGAAUUCCAGCAUGUUUCCCAAUAAAUAAAUAAAAUAACAAUUCA
This is a long non-coding RNA of Numida meleagris (helmeted guineafowl), 1954 nucleotides long. Lineage: Eukaryota; Metazoa; Chordata; Aves; Galliformes; Numididae. The record is from Ensembl.